AAAUUGAUGUGGGUGUCGCCUUAGACUAAUUUGGAGUUGUGUACGUGUGUUAGCGUGUAUGAGGUGUGGUACUAGAUAUGGAUAGGACGGGCAGAUCGGCUUGAGCUAGCCUCGCUUGGGGCCCGAUCCUUUUUGUGAUAAGUCGAGGUGAGUACGACUUUGGGUUGAUCUCGCUGACGUUCGCAUUUGGAUUGUUAAGAGAAAGUCUGGUUCGAGUUGAUCUCACUGGCA
RNAcentral lists this unclassified non-coding RNA (231 nucleotides) under Hevea brasiliensis (rubber tree). The record is from RNAcentral. Lineage: Eukaryota; Viridiplantae; Streptophyta; Magnoliopsida; Malpighiales; Euphorbiaceae.